GAUGAACGCUGGCGGCGUGCCUAAUACAUGCAAGUCGAGCGAACGGACGAGAAGCUUGCUUCUCUGAUGUUAGCGGCGGACGGGUGAGUAACACGUGGAUAACCUACCUAUAAGACUGGGAUAACUUCGGGAAACCGGAGCUAAUACCGGAUAAUAUUUUGAACCGCAUGGUUCAAAAGUGAAAGACGGUCUUGCUGUCACUUAUAGAUGGAUCCGCGCUGCAUUAGCUAGUUGGUAAGGUAACGGCUUACCAAGGCAACGAUGCAUAGCCGACCUGAGAGGGUGAUCGGCCACACUGGAACUGAGACACGGUCCAGACUCCUACGGGAGGCAGCAGUAGGGAAUCUUCCGCAAUGGGCGAAAGCCUGACGGAGCAACGCCGCGUGAGUGAUGAAGGUCUUCGGAUCGUAAAACUCUGUUAUUAGGGAAGAACAUAUGUGUAAGUAACUGUGCACAUCUUGACGGUACCUAAUCAGAAAGCCACGGCUAACUACGUGCCAGCAGCCGCGGUAAUACGUAGGUGGCAAGCGUUAUCCGGAAUUAUUGGGCGUAAAGCGCGCGUAGGCGGUUUUUUAAGUCUGAUGUGAAAGCCCACGGCUCAACCGUGGAGGGUCAUUGGAAACUGGAAAACUUGAGUGCAGAAGAGGAAAGUGGAAUUCCAUGUGUAGCGGUGAAAUGCGCAGAGAUAUGGAGGAACACCAGUGGCGAAGGCGACUUUCUGGUCUGUAACUGACGCUGAUGUGCGAAAGCGUGGGGAUCAAACAGGAUUAGAUACCCUGGUAGUCCACGCCGUAAACGAUGAGUGCUAAGUGUUAGGGGGUUUCCGCCCCUUAGUGCUGCAGCUAACGCAUUAAGCACUCCGCCUGGGGAGUACGACCGCAAGAUUGAAACUCAAAGGAAUUGACGGGGACCCGCACAAGCGGUGGAGCAUGUGGUUUAAUUCGAAGCAACGCGAAGAACCUUACCAAAUCUUGACAUCCUUUGACAACUCUAGAGAUAGAGCUUUCCCCUUCGGGGGACAAAGUGACAGGUGGUGCAUGGUUGUCGUCAGCUCGUGUCGUGAGAUGUUGGGUUAAGUCCCGCAACGAGCGCAACCCUUAAGCUUAGUUGCCAUCAUUAAGUUGGGCACUCUAAGUUGACUGCCGGUGACAAACCGGAGGAAGGUGGGGAUGACGUCAAAUCAUCAUGCCCCUUAUGAUUUGGGCUACACACGUGCUACAAUGGACAAUACAAAGGGCAGCGAAACCGUGAGGUCAAGCAAAUCCCAUAAAGUUGUUCUCAGUUCGGAUUGUAGUCUGCAACUCGACUACAUGAAGCUGGAAUCGCUAGUAAUCGUAGAUCAGCAUGCUACGGUGAAUACGUUCCCGGGUCU
RNAcentral lists this ribosomal RNA (1372 nucleotides) under uncultured bacterium. RNAcentral describes it as "bacterial SSU rRNA". It matches the Rfam family "Bacterial small subunit ribosomal RNA", at positions 28 to 1381 of the family's 1533-position model. The record is from RNAcentral.